RNAcentral lists this ribosomal RNA (1350 nucleotides) under Neoperlops gressitti. Its description in RNAcentral is "16S ribosomal RNA". The stretch from base 909 to 1278 matches the Rfam family "Bacterial large subunit ribosomal RNA", at positions 2073 to 2647 of the family's 2925-position model. The record is from RNAcentral. Lineage: Eukaryota; Metazoa; Arthropoda; Insecta; Plecoptera; Perlidae.
AAGGAGACAUAUGAUGAAUAGUUAACUAAAAUUAUAGGAUAGUUUUUAAGUUUCAGUAAUAAAAAUAUUUUUAAUUUUAAGUAUGUUGAAGUAAAGAAGAAUGAAAUAAUAAGUUGAGUUAUAGUUGAUUUGUACCGAAAGGGGUUAGGGUGAAAUAUUAGUAAAAAUUAGUCGGGAGAAAGUAGGCUUUAUUUGGUGUACCUUGUGUAUCAGGGUUGAUUAAGUAGGAUUUAAAAAUUUAUAUGGUCCCGAGUCAAAUGGUGCAAAAUUAGUUUGGAAGUUGAUGUGGAAAUAUUAUUUGUAAAAUUAAUUUUGUAAUGAAACGUUAAUCGUUUUUUGAGAUAUCUGGUUUUUUGAGAAAUGAAUUGAAUUCAGUUAUGUACAGAUUUUAUGUAAAGUUGUUUUAUUAAUAGUGUGUGUAUGAUAAUAGUGUGGGGGAUAAGCUCUAGAUUAGGUUUAUAAGUGUUAAUGUUUGGAAUUUAUUUAGGUUUAGAAAUAGCCAUAAUUUAAAGUGUGUAAUUAUUUAAAUUAAUGAAAUAUAUUAUUUAUCUAAAGGUUUAAUUAAAUUAUCAAAAUUGAAUAAGGAAUUAAAGGUUUAUUGGUAAUAAUGAUUAAAUUAGUAUAUAAGUUUGUUUGUCAAAUGUAUUAUUGAGGGGAAGGCUAGGAAAAGGAAUUAGGCAAAUAUUAUGCUCGCCUGUUUAACAAAAACAUGUCCUUUUGAAAAUAAUUUAAGGUCUGACCUGCCCACUGAUGAAGAAUUGAAGGGCCGCGGUAUCUUGACCGUGCAAAGGUAGCAUAAUCAUUAGUCUUUUAAUUGGAGGCUGGAAUAAAUGGUUGGACGAGGCAUAAGCUGUCUCAGGUUAGAUGAAGGUAGAAUUUAACUUUUUAGUGAAAAGGCUGAAAUGAGUUUAAAGGACGAGAAGACCCUAUAGAUCUUUAUAUAAAUUUAUUUUGUGAGUAUAUUUAGGUGUUUAUUUUUACAGAUUAAGUGUGUAUUUAAUUGGGGUGAUGGAAAGAUAGGAAAAACUCUUUUUGAUUAUGAUACAAUGAUUUUUGAUUAGAUUGAUCCAUAAGUUGUGAUUAAAAGACUAAGUUACCUUAGGGAUAACAGCGUAAUUUUUUUUGAGAGUUCUUAUCGACAAAAAAGAUUGCGACCUCGAUGUUGGAUUAAGAGAUAAGUUGGGUGCAGGUGCUCAAGUUUUUAGGUCUGUUCGACCUUGAAAAUCUUACAUGAUCUGAGUUCAGACCGGCGUGAGCCAGGUCGGUUUCUAUCCUUAAAAGUUAAGAAUAUUUUAGUACGAAAGGACCAAAUAUUUGAAUAAGUUUUUUUAUUGGGAGUUUUAUUAAUGG